Molecule: ribosomal RNA, 357 nt
Filed under: Triticum aestivum (bread wheat)
Lineage: Eukaryota; Viridiplantae; Streptophyta; Magnoliopsida; Poales; Poaceae
Description: partial small subunit ribosomal RNA
Source: RNAcentral
AUGCCUUUCGAGUUGAAAAGCGCUGGUUCAACAUUCGCCCGAGCAAUCCAAAUUGGUUUUGAGCCUCACCUACAUAGAAAUAUGGAAGCCUAUAUGGAUGAUAUAGUGGUCAAAACCAAGGACAAUGCCACACUCAUGCAGGAUUUGGAGGAAACCGUUGCAAAUUUGCGCAAGAUCAACCUCAAGCUAAACCCAGAGAAGUGUGUGUUUGGCGUUCCAUCUAGCAAACUUCUUGGGUUAUUUGUGUCUCAACACGAAUCAAAGCGAAUCCCGACAAGAUCAAAGCGAUUGAGCAGAUUGAGGCGCCAAAACGAGUCAAGGAUGCCCGAAGGCUCACCGGCUGCGUCGCUGCCCUGA